AUGAACGCUGGCGGCGUGCCUAAUACAUGCAAGUCGAGCGCACAGACGAGGAGCUUGCUCCUCUGACGUUAGCGGCGGACGGGUGAGUAACACGUGGAUAACCUACCUAUAAGACUGGGAUAACUUCGGGAAACCGGAGCUAAUACCGGAUAAUAUAUUGAACCGCAUGGUUCAAUAGUGAAAGACGGUUUUGCUGUCACUUAUAGAUGGAUCCGCGCCGCAUUAGCUAGUUGGUAAGGUAACGGCUUACCAAGGCAACGAUGCGUAGCCGACCUGAGAGGGGGAUCGGCCACACGGGAACUGAGACACGGUCCAGACUCCUACGGGAGGCAGCAGUAGGGAAUCUUCCGCAAUGGGCGAAAGCUUGACGGAGCAACGCCGCGUGAGUGAUGAAGGUCUUCGGAUCGUAAAACUCUGUUAUUAGGGAAGAACAAAUGUGUAAGUAACUAUGCACGUCUUGACGGUACCUAAUCAGAAAGCCACGGCUAACUACGUG
RNAcentral lists this ribosomal RNA (496 nucleotides) under uncultured bacterium. RNAcentral's name for it is "partial 16S ribosomal RNA". It matches the Rfam family "Bacterial small subunit ribosomal RNA", at positions 29 to 507 of the family's 1533-position model. The record is from RNAcentral.